ACGCGCUAACGUUGAGUCCUCCUCUAAGAAAUCAUACUCAACUCUCACGAAGUUCUUUCUGAACUCAACCCCAUUUGAAUUUCAUUCACCAACUGCUGUAAAAUCGACUCUCAACUCACCCACUUUCAACUUCACUCCACUCACGUUUGUUCGCGUCAUCACCAUCCGCGUCACCAUCUGCAUCAUCCACACCGUCGUUCGCGUCACCUUUAUUAUCGUUUGCGUCGUCUGCGUCUAGCCCACCGUCGUCGAGGGCAUUGAAGCAUAAAUUCUCUUUGAAAAAUAGUAACAACAGAGAAGGCCUGUGGCUGAAUCCACUUCAUCAGGUAAUUAGUUCUCCUUUCUAUAAAACUGAUAAUAUGUUUUUUUUUUAACAUUUUCCCGUCUAAAUUUUAUGUAUAGUAUAAACUAUUAAGGAAGUGAUUAAUUAGAUGAUAGAAGAAGCUUGUCUGCUAUUAGUUGGAUUGGAGAUACGUGUUAUGGAGAGAAUUCAUUAAUUUUGAUUUGUAGCUGAGAAUAUCAGCAGUGAUGAAGUUGAAACAACACCCUAUUCCACUCAAAAUAUGUUCAGAUAAGGAAAGCUUAAGGCUACAGAUAUACAAAAUCGAAACUGGUUUCAUUCAUACGAUCGACUUUAAGUUUUAGGGUUCGAUUGCGUGGACGAAGAUAGAAAAGAAUAUUAAUGCAUGUGAAGGAGUUACGGAUAUUAAAGUUUACUUGUAUGACAGUGCAAUUAAGUCCGGUCUUCUUGUUUAGGAUUAUGCACACUAUUUUAUUAAUGGUGAUAGAAGAGUGAUUGUUAACAACAAUGGUGUUCCCUUACCACCACAUCUAGGUGGUCCGCAAAAUGUAGCAACCAUUGCCAAUGAUGGAAGCUUCAUGGCCAUGCGAAAGGAAGUUUCGGUAGUGGCAAAAAUUUCUAUGGUUUUAAUUAAAGAAAAACCCUAGCUUGGUGUUAAUUUAUAUUUUUAUGACGAUCAUAAUGUU
Molecule: long non-coding RNA, 987 nt
Organism: Vigna unguiculata (cowpea)
Lineage: Eukaryota; Viridiplantae; Streptophyta; Magnoliopsida; Fabales; Fabaceae
Source: RefSeq, a predicted model, not a curated record